AAUGCCUCUCGAAUAACCAGAAGGUUAGAUUGUAAUCCAACGCCGUUUGGUUCAGACAGAGGCUGAGAUCAACUCGAACCAGUUUGAGGGUAAGGAACGAUUUUCCUCCGUUCCUUUCCUAGAUUGUUUUCGUACAUUC
Non-coding RNA from Gossypium hirsutum (cotton), 139 nucleotides. The record is from Rfam. Lineage: Eukaryota; Viridiplantae; Streptophyta; Magnoliopsida; Malvales; Malvaceae.